UACGGAAGGCGCAGUGGGGAAUAUUGCACAAUGGGCGAAAGCCUGAUGCAGCUAUGCCGCGUGUAUGAAGAAGGCCUUAGGGUUGUAAAGUACUUUCAUCGGGGAGGAAAAAACAAAACUAAUAAUUUUAUUUCUUGACGUUACCCGAAAAAGAAGCACCGGCUAACUCCGUGCCAGCAGCCGCGGUAAUACGGAGGGUGCUAGCGUUAAUCAGAAUUACUGGGCGUAAAGAGCACGUAGGUGGUUUUUUAAGUCAGAUGUGAAAUCCCUGGGCUUUAACCUAGGAACUGCAUUUUGAAACUGAAAUACUAGAGUAUCGUAGAGGGAGGUAGAAUUCUAGGUGUAGCGGUGAAAUGCGUAGAUAUCUGGAGGAAUACCUGUGGCGAAAGCGGCCUCCUAAACGAAUACUGACACUGAGGGUGCGAAAGCGUGGGGAGCAAACAGGGAUUAGAUACC
RNAcentral lists this ribosomal RNA (456 nucleotides) under uncultured bacterium. RNAcentral's name for it is "bacterial SSU rRNA". It matches the Rfam family "Bacterial small subunit ribosomal RNA", at positions 340 to 786 of the family's 1533-position model. The record is from RNAcentral.